Molecule: ribosomal RNA, 283 nt
Filed under: uncultured archaeon
Lineage: Archaea
Description: partial 16S ribosomal RNA
Rfam family: Archaeal small subunit ribosomal RNA
Source: RNAcentral
CUCAACAAUCCAGGCAACUGCCCUAGGGGAACAUCGAGUGAUACUCAUUUUGGGUGUCUGUCCCACCGUCUAAAAAACGGUGGUUAGCAAGGGCCGGGCAAGACCGGUGCCAGCCGCCGCGGUAAUACCGGCGGCUCGAGUGGUGGCCGAUAUUAUUGAGUCUAAAGGGUCCGUAGCCGGCUUUGUAAGUCUUUUGGGAAAUCCAGCGGCUUAACCGUUAGUCGUCCGAGAGAUACUACAUUGCUUGGGACUGGGAUAGGUAAUAGGUACUCAGGGGGUAUGA